Molecule: ribosomal RNA, 397 nt
Filed under: uncultured bacterium
Lineage: Bacteria
Description: bacterial SSU rRNA
Rfam family: Bacterial small subunit ribosomal RNA
Source: RNAcentral
AUUGAACGCUGGCGGCGUGCCUAACACAUGCAAGUCGAGCGAGAAAGGGGCUUCGGCCCUGAGUAGAGCGGCGAACGGGUGAGUAACGCGUGGAUAAACUACCGAUGAGUUCGGGAUAACGGAUGGAAACGUCCGCUAAUACCGGCUACGCUUCCAAUUUAGAUUGGGAGGAAAGGCGGCCUCUGGUUCAAGCUGUCGCUCAUUGAUGUGUCCGCGUCCCAUUAGCUAGUUGGCGGGGUAAUGGCCCACCAAGGCUACGAUGGGUAGCCGGUCUGAGAGGAUGACCGGCCACACUGGAACUGAAACACGGUCCAGACUCCUACGGGAGGCAGCAGUGGGGAAUAUUGCACAAUGGGCGAAAGCCUGAUGCAGCAACGCCGCGUGAGCGAUGAAGGCC